Rhodamnia argentea is the source of this 2318-nucleotide RNA transcript. RefSeq lists it as uncharacterized. The transcript has 8 exons. The record is from RefSeq and is a predicted model, not a curated record. Lineage: Eukaryota; Viridiplantae; Streptophyta; Magnoliopsida; Myrtales; Myrtaceae.
AGAAUCUCCUUCCUAUCACCUUUCCCUCUCCAACUCUCCCUCUUCUGCUCGCGAAUCAACCCGAACACGCGCAGAGGAAGAGAGAUUCAUUCAAAACGCAUUUUUAACAAAGACGUCGCGAGAAUCACCUGAGCACGAGCAUAGCGGCCAUGGUUUCAGGAGAUGGGUAUGCGAUAAUUGGGACGGACACUCCAUCUCUUUCUUUGUUGCGAGAUAAAGACGGUGGCAUCGAAGGAAGGAAGGGAAGGGAAGGGAAAGAGAGAGUGAAAAGUUGCUUGUUUUCUUCAUGUUGCGGACACCCUGUUCCCUUUCCCGCAAGAAGCGUCUUUUUCUUGCGCAUUCGAUCUUCCUCGCGUGUUGAUCAGAACCAUUCCUAUAUCAAUUUAGCUUUUAGUUUAAGGCAUAAUGAAGAUGGGUCACUCUUCCAGAAUCCAGAUGUGUGAGUUGGUUCAGAAGGUUCUGCUUCAAUCUAGAUGAUCCAUUUGUGGGGGACAGCUUUUUAGGGAUGGGGGACCAUAUUGUGUUGCUCGUGAAUCGUUUAACUACUGACUCUACCUUAGAAGCUGCUAUUGAGAGUGAGGACAGGAUUCCACAGGUGUUAAUGUCUCCAAGUAAAGAAUCUAUGGCCGAUAUUUCUACUAGCGAGAUGAACAUGUCGAUCCUCUGCACUCCGAGGGAGUUGGUGCAGUGUAGGAUUUGCCAUGAUGAGGAUGAACACUUAAAUAUGGAAACACCGUGUUCAUGCUGCGGCAGCUUGAAGUAUGCUCACCGUGACUGUGUCCAGAGAUGGUGCAGCGAGAAGGGUGACACCACCUGUGAGAUUUGCUGCCAGCAAUUCACACCUAACUAUACAGCACCACCUCCUCUAUUCCCGCUUGGAAGUCUUCCGUUGAGCUUCAGGGAUAAUUGGGAUAUCACCAGAAGGGAUCUGCUCGAUCCACGUUAUGUAGCAACGGUUUCUUCUGAUAAUGAUUUUUCAGACACUGACUUUGAGGAUUACUCAACUACAUCUCCUGGGGGGUUGAUGUGCUUCCGCAUAGUUACCGUAAUUGUACUCUCUCUCUCUCUCUCUCUCUCUCGUGCAUGGACAUGUGCAGGAAUACACUUGUACCUCCACGUAGACACACACUCAUACCAUCUCAUGUAGUCCAUUAUACAAAUGUAUACUUGAAUAGAAUUAGCAGGAAAUAAUGAUGCCGAUAUUUCUGGCAGGAAACAUGGUUCUUAUUGAAUUUGUAUUGAAGAACUCAUCACAAUUUCGCGGGCAGUCUUGACUUUCAUUUUGUUACUUACAACACGGAUGGAUUUUUUAUUUUUCAUAUAUGGUAAAAUAGACCAAAAGGAACAUAUAUAGCAGACAAGUCGUUAACAUUGUUGUAGAGUGGCUCGUAGAUGAAUUCUGGGCCUGACCUCAAUCUGUUCAUGAGCCGUAUCCAAAUCUUACGUAGUCUUGUUCAAACUGUGCACACGUGGUAUCUUUCAAUGUAUCUCAUAGAACUUCUGUUUCCGGUUGAGCAACAGAAUAUUGUUUCAGCAGACUAUCUGCUCAUCCAGCUCUUUCGCUGUCCCCUCGUCUGUUCUUCAAGCUUCUCAUUGAUAUGUCCACGUAUUCCCUAAUUAUUACUGCCUCAAUUAUAUUCCAACAGUUGUCUACCAUUCUUCUGAGGAGGUAUUCAAGCUGAAGCUUUACACUGAAAACCGUUUAUGCUCCAAUGAAUAUCGCUAUAUGUUUAUUGGAGGUGGAUCAUAUUCCACAGGAACUCUAGUUGGCCUUAAAUUGCACACUUCUUUAAAGCUGUUCAUGUUUCUUAGUCCCGUUUGCUCUUACUUCUUAUUCAAGUAAGUGUUUCUUCUUUCUCAUUCAGAAGUUGCCAUACGAAGGAAUCUGCGUUAUUUAGAGUCAAGUACAGUACCAGUUCAACUGAUAAUUCCCCCCUUACUUGAUCUUACAAACAUUGGUGCAAGUCAUGGAAGUUACUGUUGCACAUCUAUGAUAUCUAGUUAUUUGAUUUCCUGCAUUUUAUGAAUUAAUUUUACCAAGAACAGGCUGGGCAUAUCCAUCUACAAUCUUUCUCCUAUUUUCUCCUAUUUAAGCUAGGAUAAGGGGAUUGAAACAUUUUCUCCUGGCCUUGUUGAAACAACGGUAUUGAGCCAAAGAAGUUACUUUUUUGCUGUUUGACAGUUUAUGGUUCUUCUAGUCCUGAAGCAAACUUUACCAAUUGUGCUUAUUGGAGCCGGAGAUUACUUGCUGACAUUGUUCACGGUACUUGUGUUCAUUAUGGCCAAAGUAUUUUCUGCCAUCCAGCGUCGACAUCAAC